Molecule: ribosomal RNA, 253 nt
Filed under: uncultured bacterium
Lineage: Bacteria
Description: partial 16S ribosomal RNA
Rfam family: Bacterial small subunit ribosomal RNA
Source: RNAcentral
UACGGAGGGGGCUAGCGUUGUUCGGAAUUACUGGGCGUAAAGCGCACGUAGGCGGCUUUGCAAGUCAGAGGUGAAAGCCCGGGGCUCAACCCCGGAAUAGCCUUUGAGACUGCAUCGCUAGAAUUGUGGAGAGGUAAGUGGAAUUCCUGGUGUAGCGGUGAAAUGCGUAGAUAUCAGGAGGAACACCGGUGGCGAAGGCGGCUUUCUGGACAGUAACUGACGCUGAGGCGCGAAAGCCGGGGGAGCAAACAGG